RNAcentral lists this ribosomal RNA (885 nucleotides) under uncultured Basidiomycota. RNAcentral describes it as "eukaryotic LSU rRNA". The stretch from base 444 to 597 matches the Rfam family "5.8S ribosomal RNA". Lineage: Eukaryota; Fungi; Basidiomycota. The record is from RNAcentral.
AGCAGAAAAAACGCUGUGUGCCCCCGCAUUUUGGGCACCCGUGCCGUUGAGUACGCUGGAGAUGAUAUAAGAUAUGCACUGCAUGCUGAUACAAUGGGACUGAUAACAGCAUGCUCAGGACUACACCUAAGCUCAGAUUACACCUCAAUAGAAUUAACCUCCUCUAAAGAUUAAAAUCAUGCAAGUUAAACGAAAUCGAGACUACUUUGAGUAGCAGCAAGUUCUCGUCAACGAACCUGCCGAUAGGCGACUAACCGCAUCCCCCUACCUUCCGCAAACCACCUUUGACGUGCUUGACCGCGCCCCCCCUCCCCAUCAACCCACACACCUGUGCACCAAAGGGACGGCGGGUGGAUAACGCACGCCGUCUCGCUUUAACAAGCUCAAAAGUCUAUUUUGAAUGUCAUUUAUUCGGGCUAGCCCCGAUGUAACUUAAACAUAACAACUUUCAACAACGGAUCUCUUGGCUCUCGCAUCGAUGAAGAACGCAGCGAAAUGCGAUAAGUAAUGUGAAUUGCAGAAUUCAGUGAAUCAUCGAAUCUUUGAACGCACCUUGCGCCCAUUGGUAUUCCGAUGGGCAUGCCUGUUUGAGUGUCUUGAAAUCAUCAAGCCCGUUCGGUUUCACCGCCGAGCGGGGUUGGACUUGGGGGCUUGCCGCUUCGCCGCGGCUCCCCUUAAAUGCAUCGGUUUCGGGUCUCUGUGGGAGUCACCCCUUGGGCGUUGUAUAACCCUCGCUGUCUGGGAACUCCACGCGACGUCCGCGUCGUUGAAGGGCCUUGAAGAAACCUCGACCUGCUGUAGAGUGGCGGUCAAUGUUAAAUCGAGAUCUGACCUCAAAUCAGGUAGGACUACCCGCUGAACUUAAGCAUAUCAAUAAGCGGAGGA